UCAAGGAAAAUGUGGAUUUUUUAAAAACUCCCUCUACAAACUAAUCCAAUCCACGCAGAUGGACAAGUUCCAGCGCUUUAUUGUGACUCAGACUUCAAUACAAUCAAAGAACUGUUGGCAACAUUCCUGGGUAUUGGUGGCGACCAUCUGCAGAGGAUUUCUGGGGAAAGGGCUGCAGCUCCUGUUUAAGCCGUGCUUUCCAGCACACAGAUCGAUUUGGAAUUCACAUGAACAAAAACCUUGUGCUGUUUAGUCACAGAAAAGAUCUGCGCAAUACAUGAAAGAAAAAGAGACGUCACGCUGGUAUUUUGUGAAUCUGAAUGAUCUGCCCUCCAAAUUGGAUAUACUAUAAAUAGUCCCAGAGAAUGGAGGGCAGUAGUUUGAGAUCAUUUCAACCCAUCAGUAUAAGAAGAAAUUAACAACAGGAUGCAGAAUAUGGUGUUACUGUUGUGGAUAAAGUGCAGUGAGGGCCCAGAGUAAUUGCGGGGAGAAAGGCAGACAAGUACAAACUGAAAUGACCAGGCUGGUGCAGACAGGCCACACAACAAUGAUCUCCUGUUUCCGACGUCUUUGGGAGCAGCCUUGCUUCUGUUAACAGGCACACUGACGAUGCAGUGCAGAUUGAAAGCGUGCCUGAACCGGACAGGCUAGGCCGGGUGCACUCGGCCAGUCACGAGGAAAAAGAGUGGAAUGCGUGCUGCAUCUGU
This is a long non-coding RNA of Hypanus sabinus (Atlantic stingray), 707 nucleotides long. RefSeq lists it as uncharacterized. The transcript is spliced from 3 exons. NCBI's taxonomy places the organism in Eukaryota, Metazoa, Chordata, Chondrichthyes, Myliobatiformes, Dasyatidae. The record is from RefSeq and is a predicted model, not a curated record.